GCCCCCAUCGUCUAGUGGUCAGGACACCAGCCUUUCAAGCUGGAAACACGGGUUCGAUUCCCGUUGGGGGCGCCA
RNAcentral lists this transfer RNA (75 nucleotides) under Thermus antranikianii. RNAcentral describes it as "tRNA-Glu". It matches the Rfam family "tRNA". Rfam says of the family: Transfer RNA (tRNA) molecules are approximately 80 nucleotides in length. The record is from RNAcentral. Lineage: Bacteria; Thermotogati; Deinococcota; Deinococci; Thermales; Thermaceae. RNAcentral also lists the same sequence under 3 other names.